RNAcentral lists this ribosomal RNA (467 nucleotides) under uncultured bacterium. RNAcentral describes it as "partial 16S ribosomal RNA". It matches the Rfam family "Bacterial small subunit ribosomal RNA", at positions 28 to 506 of the family's 1533-position model. The record is from RNAcentral.
GACGAACGCUGGCGGCGUGCUUAACACAUGCAAGUCGAACGGAAAGGCCCUGCUUUUGUGGGGUGCUCGAGUGGCGAACGGGUGAGUAACACGUGAGUAACCUGCCCUUGACUUUGGGAUAACUUCAGGAAACUGGGGCUAAUACCGGAUAGGAGCUCCUGCUGCAUGGUGGGGGUUGGAAAGUUUCGGCGGUUGGGGAUGGACUCGCGGCUUAUCAGCUUGUUGGUGGGGUAGUGGCUUACCAAGGCUUUGACGGGUAGCCGGCCUGAGAGGGUGACCGGCCACAUGGGGACUGGGAUACGGCCCAGACUCCUACGGGAGGAAGCAGUGGGGAAUAUUGCAAAAUGGGCGGAGGCCUGAUGCAGCAACGCCGCGUGCGGGAUGACGGCCUUCGGGUUGUAAACCGCUUUCGCCUGUGACGAAGCGUGAGUGACGGUAAUGGGUAAAGAAGCACCGGCUAAUUACGU